UGGGGAAUAUUGGACAAUGGGGGAAACCCUGAUCCAGCAAUGCCGCGUGUGUGAAGAAGGUCUUCGGAUUGUAAAGCACUUUCGACGGGGACGAUGAUGACGGUACCCGUAGAAGAAGCCCCGGCUAACUUCGUGCCAGCAGCCGCGGUAAUACGAAGGGGGCUAGCGUUGCUCGGAAUGACUGGGCGUAAAGGGCGCGUAGGCGGUUUGGACAGUCAGAUGUGAAAUCCCCGGGCUUAACCUGGGAACUGCAUUUGAUACGUCCAGACUAGAGUUCGAGAGAGGGUUGUGGAAUUCCCAGUGUAGAGGUGAAAUUCGUAGAUAUUGGGAAGAACACCGGUGGCGAAGGCGGCAACCUGGCUCGAUACUGACGCUGAGGCGCGAAAGCGUGGGGAGCAAACAGGAUUAGAUACCCUGGUAGUCCACGCUGUAAACGAUGUGUGCUGGAUGUUGGGUAACUUAGUUACUCAGUGUCGAAGCUAACGCGCUAAGCACACCGCCUGGGGAGUACGCCCGCAAGGUUGAAACUCAAAGGAAUUGACGGGGGCCCGCACAAGCGGUGGAGCAUGUGGUUUAAUUCGAAGC
Molecule: ribosomal RNA, 585 nt
Filed under: uncultured Gluconobacter sp.
Lineage: Bacteria; Pseudomonadati; Pseudomonadota; Alphaproteobacteria; Acetobacterales; Acetobacteraceae
Description: bacterial SSU rRNA
Rfam family: Bacterial small subunit ribosomal RNA
Source: RNAcentral